RNAcentral lists this ribosomal RNA (465 nucleotides) under Vreelandella stevensii. RNAcentral's name for it is "partial 16S ribosomal RNA". It matches the Rfam family "Bacterial small subunit ribosomal RNA", at positions 338 to 795 of the family's 1533-position model. The record is from RNAcentral. Lineage: Bacteria; Pseudomonadati; Pseudomonadota; Gammaproteobacteria; Oceanospirillales; Halomonadaceae.
CCUACGGGUGGCUGCAGUGGGGAAUAUUGGACAAUGGGCGAAAGCCUGAUCCAGCCAUGCCGCGUGUGUGAAGAAGGCCUUCGGGUUGUAAAGCACUUUCAGUGGGGAAGAAAGCCUUGGGGCUAAUACCCUCGAGGAAGGACAUCACCCACAGAAGAAGCACCGGCUAACUCCGUGCCAGCAGCCGCGGUAAUACGGAGGGUGCGAGCGUUAAUCGGAAUUACUGGGCGUAAAGCGCGCGUAGGCGGUCUGAUAAGCCGGUUGUGAAAGCCCCGGGCUCAACCUGGGAACGGCAUCCGGAACUGUUAGGCUAGAGUGCAGGAGAGGAAGGUAGAAUUCCCGGUGUAGCGGUGAAAUGCGUAGAGAUCGGGAGGAAUACCAGUGGCGAAGGCGGCCUUCUGGACUGACACUGACGCUGAGGUGCGAAAGCGUGGGUAGCAAACAGGAUUAGAUACCCCGGUAGUC